RNAcentral lists this long non-coding RNA (1741 nucleotides) under Saccoglossus kowalevskii. RNAcentral's name for it is "uncharacterized LOC102803469". The record is from RNAcentral. Lineage: Eukaryota; Metazoa; Hemichordata; Enteropneusta; Harrimaniidae.
CAUAAAAAGAAGGUGUCCAGAGCUCACACCUUACCUCCCCAUUCUGAAGCUUAGCAAGUAGACUCCAUCGAUCAAGAGGCGAGCAUCUUCACAAAAUAGGACAGCGCUUCCUUCGUCAAGUUAUUGAUAACCAAGAAGCUUCAUGAAGUAAGAUAAAAGGCAGACAUAACAUUAUUUGCGCUGAUUCCGUCCCAGUCGGCUCUUGAGAAACAUCUCCACAGCACCUGUGCUUAUUAGACGCGUUGCUUUACAAGUGUUCAUUAAGGCUGAUAUAUACAUCACCAACACAACGACAAUGAACAGAAGCACGGCAAAGACAACAUGUCUAAUAUUGGCACUGUUUGUCUUGUUACAACUGUUAAGUCACGGUCAGGCACAGCCACACUUUUCUCUGAAAGACAGAUACCGAUGGAAACCCGGAAAACGUGCAAAUGCUGGUCUUCGGUUACCCGCUACCCUGAGUUUGUUAUUAAAACAGCUGAACAGCGAUUACAGAACACGAAUGGCACUGAAUGAUAUAGACAAUAUGUUCAACUCUGCAGAAGAUGACGCGGUCAAAGAAGAAUAUUAACACGCAUUAAAUAUUAGUAUGUCCUAGCGCCCUCUUACGGCAAGUAGUUGUCCUGGGAUGUAUCGCCUCGCCACGUGGUACCGUACCGUAUCGUUUGUUCAAAUAACUUCUUACUCAAAGGUGGAAUGAGGUCAUAUUACCCCCCCUCUCAUUUAUAAUGUCAAUUUAAAGGAAUAGCAUAUUUGCUAUAUUUUUAUUUUCCUGUGCCUAGUGUCAUUGCGAUUUGAAGAAAAAAAUAAAUGAUUAUUUUCAAAUGAUGAUACAGUAAAUGAAUACACCACUGAAUUUUUUGUCAUAUUCAGUGGUGAUGGCACCAGGUCACCUGGCGAGUCACCUGGGGAUAUUUGUUCAACAUUUCUAAUGAUUUUUAUACUUUGUAAAUGUCAUCCAUAUUGGAUAAGACAUGCACGCCCUUCUUCUGGAUAUAUCGGCAUUAGUGAUGAAUGAGUAUGAGAAAUUUUACACACAACGGCUCCGCAGUCUAACCUCCAUCGAUUUCAGUUUUAGUGUCAUUGUUUUUAGCUGACAUACAUGUAAACUAGUAUGACAACUUAUCCAAACAGUCGUGGGUUUUCAAAAUAUAUCUUGCCAAUAUACUAAAGAAACAUCCACAAACUAAUAUUGAUAAUCCUAAUUGUUACUACCACAUAUCAUAUCAUUUAGUGUUCCAGGUGCCUGUGAGCAGUAAUCCCAUGUACGUCGUUAGUUUUCCCAAUCUAAAAGAUUACAUGUUGGUGCAUGUCUCCGUCGUUUAGUGUUUAAAUCUCCUUCCAUACUGUUAAUAUUUUCAGUUGUUAUAGUAACCAUUCGACACUACCACUCGUCUUUCCGACAUUUCAUUAACACACCGAGUGGCACAUUUAAUUUAAAUAUAUUAUUCAUGUUAAUGGUCGUUCAUUACACAAAUAUCGAUUAUCGAUUUUGGAAUUGUUAAGGAACAAUAUCAAGGAAACAGUAUAUGGGUUAAACAGUAUGAGCAGUUAUAUCUCGUCAACAGUUUAAUGAGGCUACAUAUUUAUGAAGAAUACAUUUAUAAUGCGAAUAAAAAUAAGCAUAAAUGUACCUAUGGUUGAAACUUGCAGUAUUACACAAAGUAGACACCGUUUUGUACAUUUGAUCUGUUGUUAAUGUUGACUUUUAUCUUCAAAAUAAAGUAAUUGGAGCAUAUGA